Molecule: ribosomal RNA, 1788 nt
Filed under: Triticum aestivum (bread wheat)
Lineage: Eukaryota; Viridiplantae; Streptophyta; Magnoliopsida; Poales; Poaceae
Description: partial small subunit ribosomal RNA
Source: RNAcentral
AUGGCGCCCGGCGAGGCGACGGACGUCGGCAUGCGCCGGCCCGGGUGCUGCGGCGGCGGCGUCUUCCCGGAGGAGUCGUUCGCGAGCUGGGGCACGUACGGGCGCGCGCUGCUGGAGACGGGGCCGCGGCUCAGGGACCGGCUCACGGCGCGCUCCGCCGUCGACGUCGAGGUGCACGCCGUGCGCGGCCGCAGCGGCGCCGACAUGCGCCGGGAGCUCAACUGGUGGGACCUCGCGUGGUUCGGCGUCGGCGCCGUCAUCGGGGCCGGCAUCUUCGUGCUCACGGGACAGGAGGCCAAGGAGGCCGCCGGGCCCGCCGUCGUGCUCUCCUACGCCGUCUCCGGCAUCUCGGCCAUGCUCUCCGUGUUCUGCUACACCGAGUUCGCCAUCGAGAUCCCAGUCGCUGGCGGUUCGUUCGCGUACCUGCGGGUGGAGCUGGGCGACUUCAUGGCCUUCAUCGCCGCCGGCAACAUCCUGCUCGAGUACUGCAUCGGCGGCGCGGCGGUGGCGCGCUCGUGGACGUCCUACUUCGCCACGCUGCUCAACCACCACCCCAACGACUUCCGCAUCCACGCCACCUCGCUCGCCGAAGACUACAACCGCCUCGACCCCAUCGCCGUCGUCGUCAUCACGCUCAUCUGCCUCUUCGCCGUGCUCAGCACCAAGGGCUCCUCCCGCUUCAACUACAUCCUCUCCAUCGUCCACUUCGCCGUCAUCAUCUUCAUCAUCGGCGCCGGCCUCUCCAAGGCCAAGCUCUCCAACUUCACCGCCGACUUCGCGCCCUACGGCGCCCGCGGCAUCUUCGCCGCGUCGGCGGUGCUCUUCUUCGCCUACAUCGGCUUCGACGCCGUCAGCACCAUGGCCGAGGAGACCAAGAACCCGGCCAAGGACAUCCCCGUGGGGCUCGUCGGCGCGAUGGCGCUCACCACCGUCGUCUACUGCGUGCUCGCCGUCACGCUCUGCCUCAUGCAGCCGUACCGGGACAUCGACCCCGACGCGCCCUUCUCCGUCGCCUUCAGCGCCGUCGGCAUGGACUGGGCCAAGUAUAUCGUGGCCUUCGGCGCGCUCAAGGGGAUGACCACCGUGCUGCUCGUGAGCGCCGUGGGCCAGGCCAGGUACCUCACCCACAUCGCGCGGACGCACAUGGCGCCGCCGUGCCUCGCCGUCGUGUCGCCGCGCUGGGGAACGCCGGUGCGCGCCACGGUCACAAUGCUCACCGCCACGGCCAUCAUCGCGUUCUUCACCGACCUCGGCAUCCUCUCCAACCUCCUCUCCAUCUCCACGCUCUUCAUUUUCAUGCUCGUCGCCGUCGCGCUGCUGGUCCACCGCUACUACGCCUCCGGCGAAACCACCACCGCCAACCGUAACAAGCUCGUCUCGUGCAUCGCCGUGAUCCUCGCCGCCUCCGUCGGCACAGCGGUGUACUGGGGCCUGGCGGUGGACGGCGGGUGGGCGGCAUACGUGGUGACCGUGCCGGCGUGGUUCGCCGCGACGCUUUACCUGCACCUCGGGGUGCCAAAGGCGAGGGUGCCAAAGAUGUGGGGGGUGCCGCUGGUGCCGUGGCUGCCGUCGGCAUCCAUCUUCAUCAACAUCUUCCUGCUCGGAUCCAUCGACGCAAAGUCUUUCAUGAGGUUCGCGAUAUGGACGGUGGCGUUGCUCGUGUACUACUUCUUCGUCGGCCUCCACGCCUCCUAUGACACUGCCAAGGUGCUCGCGGCCGAGGCGGCCGCCGCCAGGGUGGAAGAAGGCGGCCACAAGGCCGUGGAAAUUGCCGGAGCUAGCAAUUAA